This 132-nucleotide ribosomal RNA is filed under the name Staphylococcus capitis. Its description in RNAcentral is "partial 23S ribosomal RNA". It matches the Rfam family "Bacterial large subunit ribosomal RNA", at positions 2792 to 2925 of the family's 2925-position model. The record is from RNAcentral. Lineage: Bacteria; Bacillati; Bacillota; Bacilli; Caryophanales; Staphylococcaceae.
GCCCCCCUCAAGAUGAGAUUUCCCAACUUCGGUUAUAAGAUCCCUCGAAGAUGACGAGGUUAAUAGGUUCGAGGUGGAAGCGUGGUGACACGUGGAGCUGACGAAUACUAAUCGAUCGAAGACUUAAUCAAU